GUGAGGGAUGAAGCAUUUCGGUGUGUAAACCUCUGUCGUUGGUGACUAAAGUUUUCAGGAGUGGAAAGCCUGGAGAUUGAAUGUAGCCAAGAAGGAAGCACUGGCUAACUCUGUGCCAGCAGCCGCGGUAAUACAGGGAGUGCAAGCGUUGUUCGGAAUUACUGGGCGUAAAGGGAGCGUAGGCGGAGCUACAAGUCAGGGGUUAAAGAUCCGGGCUCAACCUGGAAAGUGCCUUUGAGACUGUAGUUCUUGAGUAUGGCAGAGGCUAGCGGAAUUACCGGUGUAGCGGUGGAAUGCGUAGAUAUCGGUAAGAACACCAGAGGCGAAGGCGGCUAGCUGGGCCAAUACUGACGCUGAGGCUCGAAAGUGUGGGGAGCAAACAGGAUUAGAUACCCUGGUAGUCCACACCGUAAACUAUGAACACUAGAUGUCGGGGAGUUGAUUUCCCGGUGUCGGCGCUAACGCAAUAAGUGUUCCGCCUGGGGAGUACGCUCGCAAGGGUG
RNAcentral lists this ribosomal RNA (503 nucleotides) under uncultured bacterium. RNAcentral describes it as "bacterial SSU rRNA". It matches the Rfam family "Bacterial small subunit ribosomal RNA", at positions 401 to 896 of the family's 1533-position model. The record is from RNAcentral.